GGACUACACGGGUUUCUAAUCCUGUUUGCUCCCCACGCUGUCGCGCCUGAGCGUCGGUAACGGGCCAGUGAGCCGCCUUCGCCACUGGUGUUCUUCCGAAUAUCUACGAAUUUCACCUCUACACUCGGAAUUCCACUCACCUCUCCCGUACCCAAGUUCUCUAGUCUCAAAGGCCAUUCCAGGGUUGAGCCCUGGGCUUUCACCUCUGACUUGAAGAACCGCCUGCGCGCGCUUUACGCCCAGUAAUUCCGAACAACGCUAGCCCCCUUCGUAUUACCGCGGCGGCUGGCAC
Molecule: ribosomal RNA, 292 nt
Filed under: uncultured Alphaproteobacteria bacterium
Lineage: Bacteria; Pseudomonadati; Pseudomonadota; Alphaproteobacteria
Description: partial 16S ribosomal RNA
Source: RNAcentral